RNAcentral lists this ribosomal RNA (481 nucleotides) under uncultured bacterium. Its description in RNAcentral is "bacterial SSU rRNA". It matches the Rfam family "Bacterial small subunit ribosomal RNA", at positions 30 to 507 of the family's 1533-position model. The record is from RNAcentral.
AUUGAACGCUGGCGGCAUGCCUUACACAUGCAAGUCGAACGGUAACGGGCCUUCGGGUGCCGACGAGUGGCGAACGGGUGAGUAAUGCAUCGGAACGUACCUUCAGUGGGGGAUAACGUAGCGAAAGUUACGCUAAUACCGCAUAUUCUGUGAGCAGGAAAGCAGGGGAUCGCAAGACCUUGCGCUGAUUGAGCGGCCGAUGUCAGAUUAGCUAGUUGGUGAGGUAAAGGCUCACCAAGGCGACGAUCUGUAGCGGGUCUGAGAGGAUGAUCCGCCACACUGGAACUGAGACACGGUCCAGACUCCUACGGGAGGCAGCAGUGGGGAAUUUUGGACAAUGGGGGCAACCCUGAUCCAGCCAUGCCGCGUGAGUGAAGAAGGCCUUCGGGUUGUAAACUGCUUUUGUACGGAACGAAAAGACUCUUUCUAAUAAAGAGGGUCCAUGACGGUACCGUAAGAAUAAGCACCGGCUAACUACGUG